CUCGAAGCGCGUCGUGGUAUUUCGCGUAUUGUAAUUUCAACACGAGCGGGGUCAAAUCCUUUGCAGACGACUUAGCUGUGCGAAACGGUCCUGUAAGCAGUAGAGUAGCCUUGUUGUUACGAUCUGCUGAGGGUAAGCCGUCCUUCGCCUCGAUUU
This 156-nucleotide ribosomal RNA is filed under the name Fusarium oxysporum f. sp. cyclaminis. RNAcentral's name for it is "partial 28S ribosomal RNA". It matches the Rfam family "Eukaryotic large subunit ribosomal RNA", at positions 3244 to 3399 of the family's 3401-position model. The record is from RNAcentral. RNAcentral also lists the same sequence under 1 other name. Lineage: Eukaryota; Fungi; Ascomycota; Sordariomycetes; Hypocreales; Nectriaceae.